This is a long non-coding RNA of Hemicordylus capensis (graceful crag lizard), 468 nucleotides long. RefSeq lists it as uncharacterized. The transcript is spliced from 2 exons. Lineage: Eukaryota; Metazoa; Chordata; Lepidosauria; Squamata; Cordylidae. The record is from RefSeq and is a predicted model, not a curated record.
UCAGCCUAAUCUUUCUCUGAUUGGUUUAUAGGGUGGUCCUAGGGCCGCCCACUUUGCAUAAACAAAUAUGAGCAUGCUUAUUAGCUCCUGCCUUAUUAAUAUUAAUCUUUUAAAAGAACUGGGCUUUUCAUUUCUACUAUUGCCCACCUCACAACCCUUAAAGCAGCAGCAGGCAAGAACAGCAGGGAACAACAGAGGGAAGCAGUAGACACACAAAAUGGAGACAGAGACAACAUGGCUGAGAAAUUUUAGGAGGACCCUGAAGACGUGCCUAUUUUCCCAGGCCCUCAACUGAGACCAAAUUUUUAAAUGUUAAUGUGUUUUUAUCUAUUAUGAUUUUUAUCUUUUUAUGAAUUUUAAAUGUUUUAUAUUUUAUAUUAUGUUUUAAUUCUGUACACUGCCUAGAAAUUUCUAUAUUAGGCAGUAAGUAAAUAAAUAAAUAAAUAAAUACUGUCUCCCUUGAGCAAA